Molecule: ribosomal RNA, 480 nt
Filed under: uncultured bacterium
Lineage: Bacteria
Description: partial 16S ribosomal RNA
Rfam family: Bacterial small subunit ribosomal RNA
Source: RNAcentral
GAUGAACGCUAGCGGCAGGCCUAACACAUGCAAGUCGAGGGGUAGAAGGAGCUUGCUCCUUUGAGACCGGCGCACGGGUGCGUAACGCGUAUGCAAUCUACCUUGUACAGGGGAAUAGCCCAGAGAAAUUUGGAUUAAUGCCCCAUAGUAUAUAACCUUCGCAUGUUGGUUAUAUUAAAGUUCCAACGGUACAAGAUGAGCAUGCGUCCCAUUAGUUAGUUGGUAAGGUAACGGCUUACCAAGACGAUGAUGGGUAGGGGUCCUGAGAGGGAGAUCCCCCACACUGGUACUGAGACACGGACCAGACUCCUACGGGAGGCUGCAGUUAGGAAUAUUGGUCAAUGGUCGCAAGACUGAACCAGCCAUGCCGCGUGCAGGAAGACGGUCCUAUGGAUUGUAAACUGCUUUUAUACAGGAAGAAACCCUCCCACGUGUGGGAGCUUGACGGUACUGUAGGAAUAAGGAUCGGCUAACUCCGUG